UUAUUUCGUAAGUUUUUUAUUGAAAUAUACACUAAAUUUUGUACAAUCUUGUAAAAUGGUAUGAGCAAAACGUUAAAGUUUCCUAUGCAUAGCUCAACAAUCUCACUUAUGGAAACACUUACAGCGAAGUGAUUCUAUGGACUGUACUUUUGAUGAGCUUUUCUUCGUAUUUUCGCUACGCUCACUUACAUUCAUUCGUUGUCACCGUUCGGACCGUUGCUCAUGCUGGCUCAACCGGCCGUUCAACGGCCCCCAUCGUUUCAUUCUACCAAAAGAAAGGAGGAAAGAAAGAAAGAAUAGGUUUGGCGUUCAAAUCGUUCCGUCUAAAUUUAGCGCACGGCCACCAAACGGGGAAGAUAAAAUGAUGCCUGCACGUUGUUGGGGAUACCUUCGUCAAGCUGCCCUUAUUUUUUGUUUUGGUCAUAGAUUCACCAUCUCCCAAAAACUAGAUGGAAAGAAUAAAUAACACUCACAGCGGCAUGCACAUUUACAUUUGGGUGAAAAUGAAAAGUUUUCUGCCUAUCGUGAUUAUUGCCUUAGCUUUCACUGUAAACGCACCUGAGGAAGAAGAAAGGGAUGAGAAACGUUGGAUGUUUUUCACUUUUUUUUUGUUUAUUAAGUUUCAAGUGAUUAAGAAGAAUGAUAUUUAUUUUAGUUUUUCCUUUUUUUAAGUUUACUUUCUGGAGGAUUUUUGUUUCUGGAUGCUCCCUAAGGAUUUUGCUAAUUUAUGAAACCAUCAAACGUAAAGAUUUAUUGCCUCAAAAUGCAAAUGUUGGGAAUUUAUUUUAUACGUUUACUUUACGAUUGAAAUUUCUAGAAAAAAUGCUAAAAAAAGCUGUACUGAUCUGAUUUGCAAAUUAUUUGUAGCAGUCCAAAAACAAAGUAACGUGCAAACCUUGAAAAUAAAUUAUAAAAAGUUAGUUUUUUG
Long non-coding RNA from Anopheles gambiae (African malaria mosquito), 928 nucleotides. RefSeq lists it as uncharacterized. The record is from RefSeq and is a predicted model, not a curated record. Lineage: Eukaryota; Metazoa; Arthropoda; Insecta; Diptera; Culicidae. The transcript has 2 exons.